This 1593-nucleotide ribosomal RNA is filed under the name Triticum aestivum (bread wheat). RNAcentral describes it as "partial small subunit ribosomal RNA". Lineage: Eukaryota; Viridiplantae; Streptophyta; Magnoliopsida; Poales; Poaceae. The record is from RNAcentral.
AUGCCCUCCGGCGCCGGCGGCAAGGUCAUGCCCAAGUCCAAGGCCUCCUUCUUCCUCUACGGCCUCCUCCUCUACGUGCUCCUCCCCGUCCUCGCCGUCUACGUCGUCGCCCUCGCCCUCUCCCCGCUCUUCUCCGGCUCCUGCCCGCCGGCCGAGGACGCCAGCAAUGCCGUCGCUCGUCUCGCGGCGGACGCGGCUGCCGGCCGCAACGCUUCUUCGUUUUCGUCGUCGAAUAAUAUGAUGCAGCGUUCGCCGGCGCCGUUGGCGCGGCGCGUGCGGAAGCCGAGCCCGUCCGCGGACGCCGCGCCGACGGGGCUGCGGCACAUCCUGUUCGGCAUCGGCGCGUCGUCGUCCAUGUGGAAGAGCCGGCGGGAGUACAUCCGGGUGUGGUGGCGGCCGGGGAAGAUGCGCGGCUUCGUGUGGCUGGACAAGCCGGUGCCGGAGUACUACUCCCGGAACUCCUCCACGGGCCUCCCCGCCCUCAAGAUAAGCGCGGACACGUCCGAGUUCCCCUACACGCACGGCGCCGGCAGCCGCUCCGCGCUGCGCAUCUCCCGCAUCGUCUCCGAGAGCUACCGGCUGGGGCUCCCCGGCGUGCGGUGGUUCGUCAUGGGCGACGACGACACCGUCUUCUUCCCGGACAACCUGGUGGACGUGCUGUCCCGCUACGACCACACGCAGCCAUACUACAUCGGGAACCCCUCCGAGAGCCACAUCCAGAACCUCAUCUUCUCCUACGGCAUGGCCUUCGGCGGCGGCGGCUUCGCCAUCAGCCGCGCGCUCGCCGCGCAGCUGGCGCGCAUGCAGGACGGCUGCAUGCACCGCUACCCGGCGCUCUACGGCAGCGAUGACCGCAUCCACGCCUGCAUGUCGGAGCUGGGCGUGCCGCUCACCCGCCACCUGGGCUUCCACCAGUGCGACAUCUGGGGGGACGUGCUCGGCCUGCUGGGCUCCCACCCGGUGGUGCCGCUCGUGACGCUGCACCACUUCGACUUCCUGCAGCCCGUGUUCCCCGCGGCGCGGUCCCGCACGGCGGCGCUGCGGCGGCUCUUCGACGGGCCCGCGCGGCUGGACCCGGCCGCCGUGGCGCAGCAGUCCGUGUGCUACGACCGGGAGAAGCAGUGGACGGUGUCGGUGUCGUGGGGGUUCGCGGUGGUGGUGGUGCGCGGGGUGGUGUCGCCGCGGGAGAUGGAGACGCCGAUGCGCACCUUCCUCAACUGGUACAAGCGCGCCGACUACACGGCCUACUCCUUCAACACGCGGCCCGUGGCGCGCAACCACUGCCAGCGCCCGCAGGUGUACUACAUGCGGCGGGUCCGGCGCCGCACCAACGCCACGCUCGAGACGACCGUGACCGAGUACGAGCGGCACACCCCCGCGCCCAACGUCACAUGCCGGUGGCGCAUCCCCGACCCCGCCGGCCUGCUCGACCGCGUCGUCAUCGUCAAGAAGCCCGACCCCGACCUCUGGAAACGGUCUCCGAGGAGGAACUGCUGCAGGGUGGUGUCGUCGCCCAAGAACGGGACGAAGCUGGAUCGGACCAUGGCCGUCGACGUGGGUGUCUGCCGGGACGGCGAGUUUGCUCGAAUUUAG